This 569-nucleotide ribosomal RNA is filed under the name uncultured bacterium. RNAcentral's name for it is "bacterial SSU rRNA". It matches the Rfam family "Bacterial small subunit ribosomal RNA", at positions 34 to 605 of the family's 1533-position model. The record is from RNAcentral.
CGCUGGCGGCGUGCCUAACAAUGCAAGUCGAACGCCCUUGAUCUUUUCGGAGAGAGAGGGAGUGGCGGACGGGUGAGGAACACAUGGGUGACCUGCCCCAAAGUGAGGGAUACCGGCGAGAAAUCGCCGACAAGCCCGCAUAGGGUCUUUCUGGUGGAGCGGAGAGAGCAAAGUUUUCCUUUUUAGCGAGAGGGAGACGCUUUGGGAUGGGCCUGUGGCCGAUUAGCUAGUUGGUGGGGUAAGAGCCUACCAAGGCGACGAUCGGUAGCUGGUCUGAGAGGACGAUCAGCCACACUGGGAUUGAGAACGGCCCAGACUCCUACGGGGGGCAGCAGUGAGGAAUUUUCCGCAAUGGGGGAAACCCUGACGGAGCAACGCCGCGUGCAGGAGGACGCUUUUCGGAGUGUAAACUGCUUUUCUGUGGGACGAGAAUGGACGGUACCACAGGAAGAAGCCCCGGCUAACUACGUGCCAGCAGCCGCGGUAAUACGUAGGGGGCGAGCGUUGUCCGGAGUUACUGGGCGUAAAGGGCAUGCAGGCGGUCGGACGCGUUUUGUGUGACAGCGGGU